RNAcentral lists this long non-coding RNA (229 nucleotides) under Mytilus galloprovincialis (Mediterranean mussel). The record is from RNAcentral. Lineage: Eukaryota; Metazoa; Mollusca; Bivalvia; Mytilida; Mytilidae.
GAAGUUUCAUGAAGAAUAAAUAGCUAAAAAACACCCGUCCGCUGUAUUUCCUCAUUCUCUUUAAAACAAAAUAAUAGAGAGAAAGUAUGUCUUAGAAUAAACAUGCUAACAUGCUCCAUGGUUGAUUGCACCUUUCCUAACAAAGUAUUACUGAUUUUUUUCAGCAAUUGUCCCAAUCUAGCUACUGCAACGACAAUAGCGACAUUUUGUGUGUCUCAUGUUAAAUUUA